AACGGAGUAGCUCAGUUGGUUAGAGCAUCGGAAUCAUAAUCCGAGUAUCGGGGGUUCAAAUCCCUCCUCCGCUA
RNAcentral lists this transfer RNA (74 nucleotides) under Fidelibacterota bacterium. RNAcentral describes it as "tRNA-Met". It matches the Rfam family "tRNA". Rfam says of the family: Transfer RNA (tRNA) molecules are approximately 80 nucleotides in length. The record is from RNAcentral. Lineage: Bacteria; Pseudomonadati; Fidelibacterota.